CAGCCUCGGUGCUGUGGACACUCCCUGGGGCCCAGUGAAGGGGAGAGUUUGCUCCCAAAGGCACAUCAAUGACCAACAUUUGCCCCCCGGAGGAAAGAACUGGAACCAGGGUCAAGGCCAACCUGUCAGAGGUGCUUGUGUCCAGUGUCCUGGGGGUCAACGUGACCAGCGCUGAGGUCUAUGGAGCCUUCACCUGCUCCAUCCAGAAUGUCAGCUCCUCCUCCUUCACUCUUCAGAGAGCUGGCCCUACAAGCCACGUGGCUGCGGUGCUGGCCUCCCUCCUGGUCCUGCUGGCCCUGCUGCUGGCCGCCCUGCUCUAUGUCAAGUGCCGUCUCAACGUGCUGCUCUGGUACCAGGACGCGUAUGGGGAGGUGGAGAUGAACGACGGGAAGCUCUACGACGCCUACGUCUCCUACAGCGACUGCCCCGAGGACCGCAAGUUCGUGAACUUCAUCCUGAAGCCGCAGCUGGAGCGCCGUCGGGGCUACAAGCUUUUCCUGGACGACCGCGACCUCCUGCCGCGCGCUGAGCCCUCCGCCGACCUCUUGGUGAAUCUGAGCCGCUGCCGACGCCUCAUCGUGGUGCUUUCGGACGCCUUCCUGAGCCGGGCCUGGUGCAGCCACAGCUUCCGGUGGGUCCCGCGCGGGGUUGGGUGGGCCCCAGCUUAGCACCCACCCCCUGACGGUCCCGCCCCGCAGGGAGGGCCUGUGCCGGCUGCUGGAGCUCACCCGCAGGCCCAUCUUCAUCACCUUCGAGGGCCAAAGGCGCGACCCCGCGCACCCGGCGCUCCGCCUGCUACGCCAGCACCGCCACCUG
Molecule: small RNA, 816 nt
Filed under: Pongo abelii (Sumatran orangutan)
Lineage: Eukaryota; Metazoa; Chordata; Mammalia; Primates; Hominidae
Description: processed transcript
Source: RNAcentral